Molecule: ribosomal RNA, 468 nt
Filed under: uncultured eukaryote
Lineage: Eukaryota
Description: partial 18S ribosomal RNA
Rfam family: Eukaryotic small subunit ribosomal RNA
Source: RNAcentral
CAAUAGCGUAUAUUAAAGUUGUUGCGGUUAAAAAGCUCGUAGUUUGAUUUCAGUGACGUCGCGUGUCGGCCCUUCUGUCGAUCUAUUAUGAACACAGGUUGGUGUCAGAUAUGUAGCGAAUGACUUCUUUGCGACUCUCUACCUGACGGUACUGAAGUGGCACUGAUAAAGUCUCGCUUUCACGACGUUACCUACUCUCUUUUUACCCGACUGCACUUUAUUGUGUGGCGCGUAGAGUGAGAGUAUUACUUUGAGGAAAUUAGGGUGUUUCAGGCAGAGCAUUGUCUCGAAUACAUUAGCAUGGAAUAAUACGAUAGGACUAUGGUUCUAUUUUGCUGGUUUUUAGAAUCUAAGUAAUGAUUAAUAGAAACAGUCGGGGGCGUUCGUACUUAACUGCUAGAGGUGAAAUUCUUGGAUUUGUUAAAGACGAUCUACUGCGAAGGCAUUCGCCAAGGAUGUUUUCAUUGA